This 144-nucleotide microRNA precursor is filed under the name Gossypium arboreum. RNAcentral's name for it is "MIR7502 microRNA precursor family". It matches the Rfam family "MIR7502 microRNA precursor family". The record is from Rfam by way of RNAcentral. Lineage: Eukaryota; Viridiplantae; Streptophyta; Magnoliopsida; Malvales; Malvaceae.
CGUUAAAAUUUUAUCCAUUUGUACGGUUAAAAUUUAACGUGAUUAACAAAAUAACUAAACAACGAUACGUGACAUGUCGCAUGUACCUCAUGUUGACGUACAUAGACUAGUUUUUAAUAGCAAAAAUGAAUGAAAUUUUUAAUA